ACGCUCGACACCUACGGGGGCAGCAGUUAGGAAUAUUGGGCAAUGGAGGGAACUCUGACCCAGCAACGCCGCGUGAAGGAAGAAGGUUUUCGGGCUGUAAACUUCUGAUCUAAGGGAAAAAGAAAGUGAUGGUACCUUAGGAGAAAGCCACGGCUAACUACGUGCCGGCAGCCGCGGUAAUCUGAGCGGGCGUGGCGAAGGC
This 202-nucleotide ribosomal RNA is filed under the name uncultured bacterium. RNAcentral describes it as "partial 16S ribosomal RNA". It matches the Rfam family "Bacterial small subunit ribosomal RNA", at positions 328 to 537 of the family's 1533-position model. The record is from RNAcentral.